CGGACGGGUGAGUAAUGUCUGGGAAACUGCCCGAUGGAGGGGGACAACUACUGGAAACGGUAGCUAAUACCGCAUAACGUCGCAAGACCAAAGAGGGGGACCUUAGGGCCUCUUGCCAUCGGAUGUGCCCAGAUGGGAUUAGCUAGUAGGUGGGGUAAAGGCUCACCUAGGCGACGAUCCCUAGCUGGUCUGAGAGGAUGACCAGCCACACUGGAACUGAGACACGGUCCAG
This 232-nucleotide ribosomal RNA is filed under the name uncultured bacterium. RNAcentral describes it as "partial 16S ribosomal RNA". It matches the Rfam family "Bacterial small subunit ribosomal RNA", at positions 99 to 334 of the family's 1533-position model. The record is from RNAcentral.